This 216-nucleotide ribosomal RNA is filed under the name Triticum aestivum (bread wheat). Its description in RNAcentral is "partial small subunit ribosomal RNA". Lineage: Eukaryota; Viridiplantae; Streptophyta; Magnoliopsida; Poales; Poaceae. The record is from RNAcentral.
AUGGAGAGCAAGCGUGUGCUGGUGGUGGGCAGGAGUGGCUACCUCGGCCAACACCUCCUCGCCUCGCUCGCCGCCAGGUGGGGGGGCAACGGCGUCGACGUCGACAUGGCCUUCACCCACCACCGCGGGGCCGCGCCGCGGGCGCUGCUCGACGCGCUCCCCAGCGUCCGUGCCUUCCGCGCCGACCUCUGCUCCGGCAACCUUCGGACAGUUUAG